This 484-nucleotide ribosomal RNA is filed under the name uncultured bacterium. RNAcentral describes it as "partial 16S ribosomal RNA". It matches the Rfam family "Bacterial small subunit ribosomal RNA", at positions 29 to 523 of the family's 1533-position model. The record is from RNAcentral.
AGUGAACGCUGGCGGCGUGCUUAACACAUGCAAGUCGAACGAGAACGGGUUAUAGCUUGCUAUAAUUGUCAGCUAAGUGGCGCACGGGUGAGUAAUGUAUAGGUAAUAUGCCUCUUACUAAGGGAUAACAAAUGGAAACGUUUGCUAAUACCUUAUACUCCUUAUUAACAGAAGUUAAUAAGGGAAAGAUUUAUUGGUAAGAGAUUAGCCUGUAUUGUAUCAGUUAGUUGGUGGGGUAAUGGCUUACCAAGACUAUGACACAUAACUGGUUUGAGAGGAUGAUCAGUCACACUGGAACUGAGACACGGUCCAGACUCCUACGGGAGGCAGCAGUGGGGAAUAUUGCACAAUGGACGGAAGUCUGAUGCAGCAACGCCGCGUGGAGGAUGACACAUUUCGGUGCGUAAACUCCUUUUAUAUGAGAAGAUAAUGACGGUAUUAUAUGAAUAAGCACCGGCUAACUCCGUGCCAGCCGCCGCAGUAA